Molecule: non-coding RNA, 24 nt
Filed under: Drosophila erecta
Lineage: Eukaryota; Metazoa; Arthropoda; Insecta; Diptera; Drosophilidae
Also listed under: 1 other name
Source: RNAcentral
UUACGACAAGUCGAACAAAGCUGC